This 490-nucleotide ribosomal RNA is filed under the name uncultured bacterium. RNAcentral's name for it is "bacterial SSU rRNA". It matches the Rfam family "Bacterial small subunit ribosomal RNA", at positions 505 to 995 of the family's 1533-position model. The record is from RNAcentral.
GUGCCAGCAGCCGCGGUAAUACGUAGGGUGCAAGCGUUAAUCGGAAUUACUGGGCGUAAAGCGUGCGCAGGCGGUUCGGAAAGAAAGAUGUGAAAUCCCAGAGCUUAACUUUGGAACUGCAUUUUUAACUACCGGGCUAGAGUGCGUCAGAGGGAGGUGGAAUUCCGCGUGUAGCAGUGAAAUGCGUAGAUAUGCGGAGGAACACCGAUGGCGAAGGCAGCCUCCUGGGAUAACACUGACGCUCAUGCACGAAAGCGUGGGGAGCAAACAGGAUUAGAUACCCUGGUAGUCCACGCCCUAAACGAUGUCAACUAGCUGUUGGGGCCUUCGGGCCUUGGUAGCGCAGCUAACGCGUGAAGUUGACCGCCUGGGGAGUACGGUCGCAAGAUUAAAACUCAAAGGAAUUGACGGGGACCCGCACAAGCGGUGGAUGAUGUGGAUUAAUUCGAUGCAACGCGAAAAACCUUACCUACCCUUGACAUGUCUGGAA